GAUGAACGCUAGCGGCAGGCUUAAUACAUGCAAGUCGUGGGGCAGCAUGAGUAGCAAUACUUGAUGGCGACCGGCAAACGGGUGAGGAACACGUACACAACCUUCCUUCAAGCGGGGAAUAGCCCAGAGAAAUUUGGAUUAAUACCCCAUAAUAUAUUUGAUAAGGCAUCUUAUUAAUAUUAAAGCUUCGGCACUUGAUGAUGGGUGUGCGGCUGAUUAGAUAGUUGGCGGGUAACGGCCCACCAAGUCUACGAUCAGUAGCUGAUGUGAGAGCAUGAUCAGCCACACGGGCACUGAGACACGGGCCCGACUCCUACGGGAGGCAGCAGUAAGGAAUAUUGGACAAUGGACGAAAGUCUGAUCCAGCCAUGCCGCGUGGAGGAUUAAGGUCCUCUGGAUUGUAAACUUCUUUAUAUGGGACGAAAAAGGGCAUUCUUGUUCACUUGACGGUACCAUAUGAAUAAGCACCGGCUAACUCCGUGCCAGCAG
Molecule: ribosomal RNA, 489 nt
Filed under: uncultured bacterium
Lineage: Bacteria
Description: bacterial SSU rRNA
Rfam family: Bacterial small subunit ribosomal RNA
Source: RNAcentral